AACGAACGCUGGCGGCAUGCCUAACACAUGCAAGUCGAACGCGUGUAGCAAUACACGAGUGGCGGACGGGUGAGUAACGCGUGGGAACCUGCCCAGUGGUAGGGAAUAACUGCGGGAAACUGCAGCUAAUACCCUAUACGCCCUUUGGGGGAAAGAUUCAUCGCCAUUGGAGGGGCCCGCGUCGGAUUAGCUAGUUGGCGGGGUAAUGGCCCACCAAGGCAACGAUCCGUAGCUGGUCNGAGAGGAUGAUCAGCCACACUGGGACUGAGAUACGGCCCAGACUCCUACGGGAGGCAGCAGUGGGGAAUAUUGGACAAUGGGGGAAACCCUGAUCCAGCAAUGCCGCGUGAGUGAAGAAGGCCU
This 363-nucleotide ribosomal RNA is filed under the name uncultured bacterium. RNAcentral describes it as "bacterial SSU rRNA". It matches the Rfam family "Bacterial small subunit ribosomal RNA", at positions 29 to 417 of the family's 1533-position model. The record is from RNAcentral.